AGUGAACGCUGGCGGUAGGCCUAACACAUGCAAGUCGAACGGCAGCACAGUAAGAGCUUGCUCUUACGGGUGGCGAGUGGCGGACGGGUGAGGAAUACAUCGGAAUCUACUUUUUCGUGGGGGAUAACGUAGGGAAACUUACGCUAAUACCGCAUACGACCUACGGGUGAAAGCAGGGGAGAUUCGGACCUUGCGCGAAUGAAUGAGCCGAUGUCGGAUUAGCUAGUUGGCGGGGUAAAGGCCCACCAAGGCGACGAUCCGUAGCUGGUCUGAGAGGAUGAUCAGCCACACUGGAACUGAGACACGGUCCAGACUCCUACGGGAGGCAGCAGUGGGGAAUAUUGGACAAUGGGCGCAAGCCUGAUCCAGCCAUACCGCGUGGGUGAAGAAGGCCUUCGGGUUGUAAAGCCCUUUUGUUGGGAAAGAAAAGCAGCAGGUUAAUACCCCGCUGUUCUGACGGUACCCAAAGAAUAAGCACCGGCUAACUUCGUG
This 492-nucleotide ribosomal RNA is filed under the name uncultured bacterium. Its description in RNAcentral is "partial 16S ribosomal RNA". It matches the Rfam family "Bacterial small subunit ribosomal RNA", at positions 29 to 507 of the family's 1533-position model. The record is from RNAcentral.